RNAcentral lists this ribosomal RNA (469 nucleotides) under uncultured bacterium. RNAcentral's name for it is "SSU rRNA". It matches the Rfam family "Bacterial small subunit ribosomal RNA", at positions 26 to 518 of the family's 1533-position model. The record is from RNAcentral.
AGGACGAACGCUGGCGGCGCGCCUAACACAUGCAAGUCGAGCGAGAACCAGGGCUUGCCCUGGGGAAAGCGGCGAACGGGUGCGUAACACGUGAGCAACCUGCCCCAAAGACCGGGACAACCCGAGGAAACUCGGACUAAUACCGGAUGCCCUCACCGGGCCGCAUGGUCUGGUGAGGAAAUGGAUUCCGCUUUGGGAUGGGCUCGCGGUCUAUCAGCUUGUUGGUGGGGUAACGGCCUACCAAGGCGACGACGGAUAGCUGGUCUGAGAGGACGAUCAGCCACACUGGGACUGAGACACGGCCCAGACUCCUACGGGAGGCAGCAGUGGGGAAUCUUGCGCAAUGGGGGAAACCCUGACGCAGCGACGCCGCGUGCGGGAUGAAGGCCUUCGGGUUGUAAACCGCUUUCAGCAGGACGAAUUGACGGUACUGCAGAAGAGGCCCGGCCAACUACGCGCCAGCAGCCGC